This 253-nucleotide ribosomal RNA is filed under the name uncultured bacterium. RNAcentral's name for it is "partial 16S ribosomal RNA". It matches the Rfam family "Bacterial small subunit ribosomal RNA", at positions 524 to 776 of the family's 1533-position model. The record is from RNAcentral.
GACGUAGGGCGCGAGCGUUGUCCGGAUUUAUUGGGCGUAAAGAGCUCGUAGGCGGUCUGUCGCGUCGGCUGUGAAAACCCGAGGCUCAACCUCGGGCCUGCAGUGGGUACGGGCAGACUAGAGUGCGGUAGGGGAGAUUGGAAUUCCUGGUGUAGCGGUGGAAUGCGCAGAUAUCAGGAGGAACACCGAUGGCGAAGGCAGAUCUCUGGGCCGUAACUGACGCUGAGGAGCGAAAGCGUGGGGAGCGAACAGG